UUGAGACUGUUUGCUUUUUCCUCAGGGUGAAAAUGUCCCAGAGAAGUGAUGGUUAAUGGCCUGGUGGUGUCUGCUGGGGAUGGAGCCUGUCCUGUCCUGCAGGGCUGGGAGCUCAGGGCUGCUGGAUGACCCCAGGCUGCUGCAGUGUCCAACAGCAAAGUCCCCUGGCCAGUUCCCCCCUUGCAGGCGAGACUGGGUGUAUAUUGGAAACUGAGUCACAAGUAAAAGGAUGGCCAGGAGAUGGGCCAUGGCUGGACUCCAGGUGUUGAUCAUCAAGACUCCAGGUGUUGAUCAUCAAGACUCCAGGUGUUGACCAUCAGGACUCCAGUGUUGACCGUUGGGACUCCAGGUGUUGAUCAUCAGUGCUGAUCAUUGCAUAAAUGGCCCGAGAUGGAUCUCAUGGAAAUCCUCAGACAGAUCCAUGUGAAUGCAGCCUUCCCAGCCUUCCCGUAAAUCCCAUCAGGGAUUCACCUGCUCCGGACACUGAAUUGUUCCUCCUCAUCACCAAAAAAAGAAAAUCUUAUUAACCUAUGGACUCUGAAUAGAAGAAAAGACUGAUUGCUGAAAUCUUGGC
Molecule: non-coding RNA, 574 nt
Organism: Lonchura striata (white-rumped munia)
Lineage: Eukaryota; Metazoa; Chordata; Aves; Passeriformes; Estrildidae
Source: RefSeq, a predicted model, not a curated record